GUGGGGAAUAUUGGGCAAUGGACGCAAGUCUGACCCAGCAACGCCGCGUGAAGGAAGAAGGCUUUCGGGUUGUAAACUUCUUUUAAGGGGGAAGAGUAGAAGACGGUACCCCUUGAAUAAGCCACGGCUAACUACGUGCCAGCAGCCGCGGUAAUACGUAGGUGGCAAGCGUUGUCCGGAUUUACUGGGUGUAAAGGGCGUGUAGCCGGGAAGGCAAGUCAGAUGUGAAAUCUGGAGGCUCAACCUCCAAACUGCAUUUGAAACUGCUUUUCUUGAGUGUCGGAGAGGUAAUCGGAAUUCCUUGUGUAGCGGUGAAAUGCGUAGAUAUAAGGAAGAACACCAGUGGCGAAGGCGGAUUACUGGACGAUAACUGACGGUGAGGCGCGAAAGCGUGGGGAGCAAACAGGAUUAGAAACCCUAGUAGUCC
This 427-nucleotide ribosomal RNA is filed under the name uncultured bacterium. RNAcentral's name for it is "bacterial SSU rRNA". It matches the Rfam family "Bacterial small subunit ribosomal RNA", at positions 354 to 796 of the family's 1533-position model. The record is from RNAcentral.